UCCAGACUCCUACGGGAGGCAGCAGUGAGGAAUAUUGGUCAAUGGCCGGGAGGCUGAACCAGCCAAGUCGCGUGAGGGAAGACGGCCCUACGGGUUGUAAACCUCUUUUGUCGGGGAGCAAAGCGAGUCACGUGUGACUCAUUGAGAGUACCCGAAGAAAAAGCAUCGGCUAACUCCGUGCCAGCAGCCGCGGUAAUACGGAGGAUGCGAGCGUUAUCCGGAUUUAUUGGGUUUAAAGGGUGCGUAGGCGGAAUGCCAAGUCAGCGGUAAAAUCGCGGGGCUCAACCUCGCUCCGCCGUUGAAACUGGCGUUCUUGAGUGGGCGAGAAGUAUGCGGAAUGCGUGGUGUAGCGGUGAAAUGCAUAGAUAUCGCGCAGAACUCCGAUUGCGAAGGCAGCAUGCCGGCUCCACACUGACGCUGAGGCACGAAAGCGUGGGUAUCGAACAGGAUUAGAUACCCCAGUA
RNAcentral lists this ribosomal RNA (464 nucleotides) under uncultured bacterium. RNAcentral's name for it is "bacterial SSU rRNA". It matches the Rfam family "Bacterial small subunit ribosomal RNA", at positions 330 to 792 of the family's 1533-position model. The record is from RNAcentral.